This 254-nucleotide ribosomal RNA is filed under the name Pseudo-nitzschia fraudulenta. RNAcentral's name for it is "partial Bacterial large subunit ribosomal RNA". It matches the Rfam family "Bacterial large subunit ribosomal RNA", at positions 1225 to 1475 of the family's 2925-position model. Lineage: Eukaryota; Bacillariophyta; Bacillariophyceae; Bacillariales; Bacillariaceae. The record is from RNAcentral.
GGGGAAUUGGAGACGCGAGGCUUUCUGUGAAGCCGGCCUGUGAGGGAUCCGGUGGAGAGAUCACUAGUGAGAAUGAUGACAUGAGUAGCGACAAAGAGUGUGAGAGACACUCUCGCCGAAAGUCCAAGGGUUCCUGCUUAAAGCUAAUCUGAGCAGGGUAAGCCGACCCCUAAGGCGAGGCCGAAAGGCGUAGUCGAUGGGAACCAGGUUAAUAUUCCUGGGCCAGGAAGAAGUGACGGAUCUCGAGGGUAGUU